ACACCAUUUGUCUCCCAACAAAUUGAAAAACAGUGAUCAAGAUAGUGACUCCGAUUGAUUCACAUAUUGUAUUGACAUAUGACUGUUGACAUUGCUUUUUAGUCUCCAAUAUUUCAGUGAGUCAUGCUUUGGAAAUUAUUAUUACCCAACCCUUGAGUUGUUUUGUUUUUCAUUUACCCAACCUUUUACUCACUCAAAAUUUUGUUUACCCAACCCUUUUUUCUUCGGUGCCACCCCCUGCCAUAAAUAAUGACCGGUCC
Paramuricea clavata is the source of this 260-nucleotide non-coding RNA. Lineage: Eukaryota; Metazoa; Cnidaria; Anthozoa; Malacalcyonacea; Plexauridae. The record is from the annotation of a GenBank genome assembly.